This is a long non-coding RNA of Homo sapiens (human), 2104 nucleotides long. Ensembl annotates it as small nucleolar RNA host gene 28. Its record names the gene SNHG28. Lineage: Eukaryota; Metazoa; Chordata; Mammalia; Primates; Hominidae. The record is from Ensembl.
UUGUGCCCACAGCUGUGCACAUCCUGGGCUUCCUCCACACCUUGUCCAUAAACUGCCCCUCAGCUACCUUCAGACCCAGGAUACAGACGCAGCCUCCAGAAGAAUAAAUGCUCCAUUAGCAGCUGGCUGGAGCUGGCUGAGGCUCUGGCUGGUGACUCUGGCCUCUGGUGUAGACUUCCCUCAGGUGAGUGCAUGGAUGAGAGCUCUACCUUCUCCUGACUGCCCAGGCCUCAGGACAACAGGAGAACAGAUGCAAAAACUAUUGCUCAAGGAAAAUAAAGUGAAAACGAGGAAAAGCAAAAGAAGAUCUGGAGAGGGCUCUCACCUGACCACAAGCAUCCUGGAGCAAUGAGUGUGGAUCUGUUCAACAAGGCCCUGGUGCACCACGCUACAAACCACUGUCGAAAUGAGGUUGCUAAGAGUCACCUUGUGGAGGGAGAGCUGCAGGUCCCAUCUCAUCCAGAGCUGCUUUGAUCUGAGUUUCAGGCAGGAAGACUCAUCCUGAGCUGAGCUGCUUUUCUUGAAGUUGUGCAAGAACGUCCUGUUGGCUGGGGCAAAUUCAGUAUUUCUUUUCCUGGCCACUGUGCUGGAGCGUGAGGAAAGACUCUCCACCCUCACUCCCAGAUCCUGCAGGAGGCGUGAGAGCGGAUGGAGAUGGUGAGGAUGUCUAUUAAUAUGGUGUUUCCUGCAAAACGGUGCCCAUCUCAACCAUGGGUUGUCAACCAUCCUCGGUGUCUACAACUGCAAUUUACCUUUGAGGGCCCAUGAACUCUGAUUACCUGAAAGUCCUUAGGCCAGAAAGAGAAACCCCUGUCCCCCACCUCUCACUUUCACCUAUUUCUAGACCUUUUCUUACAGCAAUGCCUUGGCCCUCAGGAAGCAUCAGAUCUCAAACUGCAGGGUCUGGGGCUGAAGCUGAUGCUGGCAUGGGUGACUCAGAGUUCCUCUAUUAGUUCAAAUAUGUAAUAUCUUUUAGAGCCUAGGACUCAGGCUGGAGGCAAUUCCUUGGUGCCAGUUGGUUAAUACUUUAUGAAUAGUGGUGGGGGAGGGAAUGCCUUGGACUAUUAAUGUCCCCAUGGAUCUGGAUCCUGGAGAACUUCCAGUGUCCUGGAUGGAAUGUUCUGCUUGGCUCAUCUUGCCCAGAGAAGAGCCAGGAUAUGAGAAGAUGGGAGAGGGAAGGGGGAGGUGUGAAACGUGCUGGUGCUUCCUGUCCUCGUGGUGUGAUGGCUGCCCAGGCUGCUCCUUCGAGGCAGGACAGGAUUCCCAUGGGAGAUAUGAGGACCAUGGUGAUUUCCAGGCACCAGUUAUGUCCCAGAGCAUCGUGUGCCUGUGCAGUGGGGUUACUGAUAGUCCAGGCAUCAGUUCAUAUUGUCCUUUAUGGCAGAUCCUGCACAAGGGGGUUCUCUGUCUCUGGACCCACUCUGUCAGCAUGGACAUCCUUUUUCUUUUUCCCUGGUAAGGACAUCAGAAAGAAAGUUACCCCUCCAGUGUUUGGAGUCUUGGAAUCCUUGGCCUGCCUGCAGGCCUCUGAAUCCUCAGUGUGUUAGCCCAAGGUCACCUUAGGUAAAGGAACAUUUCUCCUGGUCUUCCAACACCCUGGAAAGGGAGGCUCUUCAAGAAUAGGAAAUUCUUCCUAGUAUCUAACCUUGGCCUGCAACUAUGCCAUACAUUUAAUUGUAGAAGGUAUGGAAAGUUAGGACUGUGGUGGACCCAGUUAAAUCACUGGACAGAAGCCAUGAGGCAGAGCCAGAACCAGCUUCUGGACUCCCUGCAUGGAGCUUUCUACUAUCCCAGGUUGUUGGGUCCCUUCUCAGUGGCCAAAGAUGCUAUUUUAUGAGCCUUGAGGACAUGACACUAAGUGAAAAAAGCCUGGCCAAAGGGCCACAUAGUGUAUAGUUCUAUUUAUAUGAAAUGUCCAGGAAAGACAAAAGCAUAGAGGCAGAAAGCAGACUAGUGCUGUGGGAGGAAUGGGGGAUUUGGGAGGUGAUGGCUAAGGGGUUAUGGGGUUUUGGGGGAGGUAAUAGAAAUGUUUUAAAAUUGGUUGUGAAGGUGGAUGCCCAACUCUGCGAAUACACUAAAAGGCAUCGAAUUGUAUACUUUAAAU